This 502-nucleotide ribosomal RNA is filed under the name uncultured bacterium. RNAcentral's name for it is "bacterial SSU rRNA". It matches the Rfam family "Bacterial small subunit ribosomal RNA", at positions 791 to 1299 of the family's 1533-position model. The record is from RNAcentral.
UAGUCCACGCUGUAAACGAUGAUCACUCGUCAUUGGCGAUACACAGUCAGUGACCUAGCGAAAGCGUUAAGUGAUCCACCUGGGGAGUACGUUCGCAAGAAUGAAACUCAAAGGAAUUGACGGGGGCCCGCACAAGCGGUGGAGCAUGUGGUUUAAUUCGAUGAUACGCGAGGAACCUUACCAGGGCUCAAACGCACUACGACAGGGGUGGAAACAUCCUUUUCUUCGGACGGAGUGCGAGGUGCUGCAUGGUCGUCGUCAGCUCGUGCCGUGAGGUGUCGGGUUAAGUCCCAUAACGAGCGCAACCCCUAUCUUUAGUUGCCAGCGAGUAAUGUCGGGGACUCUAGAGAAACUGCCUACGUAAGUAGUGAGGAAGGUGGGGAUGACGUCAGAUCAUCACGGCCCUUACGUCCUGGGCCACACACGUGCUACAAUGGCGUGUACAGAGGGAAGCUACCGCGCGAGCGGAUGCCGAUCUCCAAAACNCGUCUCAGUUCGGAUC